CCGUGCUUAUAAUAAUUUCUAGCUAAAGUACACCAAACCCAAAUUCACUUUUAAUAUACGGAGACCAAACCCAUAUUAUGAAUAAGGUACUAUAUUUUAGAUCUUUUAAAAAAUUCCCAUGAAGAUUUUCUUUCUCUUUUAUAAUUGCUUCUUGUAAGUGAAAUUACAAUCAACACAAACAGAUUCCACCGUUUACAAUAUUAGAGUGUGUUUGACGUUGCAAAGCAUACGUAACCAAGCAGAGUAGUCAAUGACAUCAUUAUCGUCCAAUGAAAAAUAAGUAUGAAAAAGUACGGGAAAGAUGAUUAUGCAACUAUUAACCGGGGCAAUAGUCUUUGAAACUAUUGACUGGCAAAUGGUUCUGUGGAAUGAAAUAGCACAACUAUUUCAUUACUUUUUAUAUAGAAAAAACAUACUGAGGUAUAAUAA
This 429-nucleotide long non-coding RNA is filed under the name Mytilus galloprovincialis (Mediterranean mussel). Lineage: Eukaryota; Metazoa; Mollusca; Bivalvia; Mytilida; Mytilidae. The record is from RNAcentral.